RNAcentral lists this ribosomal RNA (253 nucleotides) under uncultured bacterium. Its description in RNAcentral is "partial 16S ribosomal RNA". It matches the Rfam family "Bacterial small subunit ribosomal RNA", at positions 524 to 776 of the family's 1533-position model. The record is from RNAcentral.
UACGAAGGGGGCUAGCGUUGCUCGGAAUCACUGGGCGUAAAGCGCACGUAGGCGGAUUGCUAAGUCAGGGGUGAAAUCCUGGAGCUCAACUCCAGAACUGCCUUUGAUACUGGCGACCUUGAGUCCGGGAGAGGUGAGUGGAACUGCGAGUGUAGAGGUGAAAUGCGUAGAUAUCUGGAGGAACACCGGUGGCGAAGGCGGCGUCCUGGACCAACACUGACACUGAUGAGCGAAAGCCAGGGGAGCAAACGGG